This is a non-coding RNA of Triticum aestivum (bread wheat), 134 nucleotides long. Lineage: Eukaryota; Viridiplantae; Streptophyta; Magnoliopsida; Poales; Poaceae. The record is from Rfam.
UUUCUACUCCUCCCUCCGAAAAUACUUGUCAUCAAAAUGGAUAAAAAUAGAUGUAUCUAAAACUAAAAUACGUCUAGAUACAUUUCCUUUUAUCCAUUUUGAUGACAAAUAUUUCCGGACGGAGGGAGUAUUUG